RNAcentral lists this ribosomal RNA (720 nucleotides) under uncultured bacterium. RNAcentral's name for it is "bacterial SSU rRNA". It matches the Rfam family "Bacterial small subunit ribosomal RNA", at positions 30 to 769 of the family's 1533-position model. The record is from RNAcentral.
AGAAUGCUGGCGGCGUGCUUACACAUGCAAGUCGAGCGGUAAAGGCCCUUCGGGGUACACGAGCGGCGGACGGCUGAGUAACGCGUGGGAACAUGCCCCAAAGUGAGGAAUAAGCUCCAGAAAUGGAGUCUAAUGCCGCAUAUGAUCUUCGGAUUAAAGGAUUUAUCCGUUUGGGAGUGGCCUGCGUACGAUUAGUUGUUGGUGAGGUAAUGGUUACCAAGGCUACGAUCGUUAGCUGGUCUGAGAGGAUGACCAGCAGACUGGAACUGAGACACGGUCCAGACUCCUACGGGAGGCAGCAGUGAGGAAUAUUGGACAAUGGACGAAAGUCUGAACCAGCCAUGCCGCGUGAAGGAUUAAGGCCCUCUGGGUUGUAAACUUCUUUUAUCUGGGACGAAAAAAGGGUAUUCUUACUCACUUGACGGUACCAGAGGAAUAAGCACCGGCUAACUCCGUGCCAGCAGCCGCGGUAAUACGGAGGGUGCAAGCGUUAUCCGGAUUUACUGGGUUUAAAGGGUGCGUAGUGGGUCUGUAAGUCAGUGGUGAAAGCCUUCAGCUCAACUGAAGAACUGCCAUUGAUGCUGAUGAUCUUGAGUACGAUUGAGGUAGGCGGAAUGUGUCAUGUAGCGGUGAAAUGCUUAGAAUAUGACACAGAACACCGAUUGCGAAGGCAGCUUACUAAGUCGUAACUGACGCUUGAUGCACGAAAGCGUGGGGGAG